UACGUAGGUGGCAAGCGUUAUCCGGAAUUAUUGGGCGUAAAGCGCGCGUAGGCGGUUUCUUAAGUCUGAUGUGAAAGCCCCCGGCUCAACCGGGGAGGGUCAUUGGAAACUGGGGGACUUGAGUGCAGAAGAGGAGAGUGAAUUCCAUGUGUAGCGGUGAAAUGCGCAGAGAUAUGGAGGAACACCAGUGGCGAAGGCGGCUCUCUGGUCUGCAACUGACGCUGAUGUGCGAAAGCGUGGGGAUCAAACAGGAUUAGAUA
RNAcentral lists this ribosomal RNA (260 nucleotides) under uncultured prokaryote. RNAcentral describes it as "partial 16S ribosomal RNA". It matches the Rfam family "Bacterial small subunit ribosomal RNA", at positions 524 to 784 of the family's 1533-position model. The record is from RNAcentral.